RNAcentral lists this ribosomal RNA (465 nucleotides) under uncultured Klebsiella sp. Its description in RNAcentral is "bacterial SSU rRNA". It matches the Rfam family "Bacterial small subunit ribosomal RNA", at positions 338 to 795 of the family's 1533-position model. The record is from RNAcentral. Lineage: Bacteria; Pseudomonadati; Pseudomonadota; Gammaproteobacteria; Enterobacterales; Enterobacteriaceae.
CCUACGGGUGGCUGCAGUGGGGAAUAUUGCACAAUGGGCGCAAGCCUGAUGCAGCCAUGCCGCGUGUGUGAAGAAGGCCUUCGGGUUGUAAAGCACUUUCAGCGGGGAGGAAGGCGUUAAGGUUAAUAACCUUGGCGAUUGACGUUACCCGCAGAAGAAGCACCGGCUAACUCCGUGCCAGCAGCCGCGGUAAUACGGAGGGUGCAAGCGUUAAUCGGAAUUACUGGGCGUAAAGCGCACGCAGGCGGUCUGUCAAGUCGGAUGUGAAAUCCCCGGGCUCAACCUGGGAACUGCAUUCGAAACUGGCAGGCUAGAGUCUUGUAGAGGGGGGUAGAAUUCCAGGUGUAGCGGUGAAAUGCGUAGAGAUCUGGAGGAAUACCGGUGGCGAAGGCGGCCCCCUGGACAAAGACUGACGCUCAGGUGCGAAAGCGUGGGGUGCAAACAGGAUUAGAUACCCCUGUAGUC